UCUUGGUGUUACUUUGAUGAAAAAAUCCUA
Molecule: non-coding RNA, 30 nt
Filed under: Mus musculus (house mouse)
Lineage: Eukaryota; Metazoa; Chordata; Mammalia; Rodentia; Muridae
Source: RNAcentral